RNAcentral lists this ribosomal RNA (422 nucleotides) under uncultured prokaryote. RNAcentral's name for it is "bacterial SSU rRNA". It matches the Rfam family "Bacterial small subunit ribosomal RNA", at positions 355 to 774 of the family's 1533-position model. The record is from RNAcentral.
UGAGGAAUAUUGGUCAAUGGGCGAAAGCCUGAACCAGCUAUCCCGCGUGCAGGAAGACGGCCCUAUGGGUUGUAAACUGCUUUUCCAGGGGGCGAACAGUAUCGACGUGUCGGUAUUUGACGGUACCCUGGGAAUAAGCAUCGGCUAACUCCGUGCCAGCAGCCGCGGUAAUACGGAGGAUGCGAGCGUUAUCCGGAUUUAUUGGGUUUAAAGGGUGCGUAGGCGGAUAAAUAAGUCAGUGGUGAAACCCGGCAGCUUAACUGUAGACUUGCCGUUGAUACUGUUUGUCUUGAGUAUGGUCAAGGUAGGCGGAAUGUGUAAUGUAGCGGUGAAAUGCUUAGAUAUUACACAGAACACCGAUUGCGAAGGCAGCUUGCUGGACCAAUACUGACGCUGAUGCACGAAAGCGUGGGGAUCGAACA